This 72-nucleotide transfer RNA is filed under the name Camelus bactrianus (Bactrian camel). It matches the Rfam family "tRNA". From Rfam's summary of the family: Transfer RNA (tRNA) molecules are approximately 80 nucleotides in length. Their secondary structure includes four short double-helical elements and three loops (D, anti-codon, and T loops). The record is from Rfam by way of RNAcentral. Lineage: Eukaryota; Metazoa; Chordata; Mammalia; Artiodactyla; Camelidae. RNAcentral also lists the same sequence under 2 other names.
GAGGGUAUAGCUCACUGGUAGAGUGCAUGCUUAGCAUGCAUGAGGUCCUGGGUUCAAUCCCCAGUACCUCCA